This 781-nucleotide long non-coding RNA is filed under the name Sinocyclocheilus grahami. RNAcentral describes it as "lncRNA (ENSSGRG00000020209.1)". Lineage: Eukaryota; Metazoa; Chordata; Actinopteri; Cypriniformes; Cyprinidae. The record is from RNAcentral.
GGGAGCGAGAGGCAUGAGCGAGAGAGAGAGAGAUGUGCUUCUGAUUGGAUUGGAGGCAGUGCUGAAGAGGCACUGAGACACAACGAGAGAGUGAGAGAGAACGAGAGGGCACGAAUGCAGUUUACACAUUAGCCCAGCUGCCAGAAAUUACAGCAAGCUCAAUUUUGCCGGACUGGAACAGGGGGGGCGUGAAACGGGAGGAUGGCAAGGAUGCAGAAAAUGAAGAGAACCCACCAUUGCAUUCUCUUGGGAAAUGAUCUGUGGUGAAUAAACAGUAACCGCAGAAGAGGCAGAGAGAGAGAGAGAGGGAGAACGGGGGAAAAGAGGAGGAGGGGAGAGCCUAGCAUCCUCUGAGCACAAUAGACUUAGAGUGUCGCAAGUGAAGAAAAAAAAGAGCCAUGGGCUGUUUCCUGCUUCGUAAAGACCCAUUUCUCCACCCUUGACGCGUCUUACCGCUCCUGGCUGCUGACAGCAAGUUCUUCCUCCAUACAUCCCCAGAUGCUCUCAGAAUGCACCUACUUUCCUGCCAGCAAAAGAAUGGUGACAGGAGCGCAGAGACUUGAGGAUAUCUGGCGUUAAAAAUCAGCUGAGGAAGUAGGACCAAAAAGAAAGAACAAAUCCUUGAUUGGGAUUUUUUUUUAUAUUGAAAUCACUUGACGUUUACUAUUCUGAAACCAUCCAGCGUUUUAAGUUGGGACGGAACCCUGAGGGGCCAAAGGAAUAAGUGUCAUCCAAUCACACGAAGAUCCUUUGAUUUCAUUUCGCACAGAGAGGAUCCUAA